Molecule: ribosomal RNA, 43 nt
Filed under: Nautilocalyx bicolor
Lineage: Eukaryota; Viridiplantae; Streptophyta; Magnoliopsida; Lamiales; Gesneriaceae
Description: partial 18S ribosomal RNA
Source: RNAcentral
CGUAACAAAGGUUUCCGUAGGUGAACCUGCGGAAGGAUCAUUG